Ricinus communis (castor bean) is the source of this 1962-nucleotide long non-coding RNA. RefSeq lists it as uncharacterized. NCBI's taxonomy places the organism in Eukaryota, Viridiplantae, Streptophyta, Magnoliopsida, Malpighiales, Euphorbiaceae. The transcript is spliced from 3 exons. The record is from RefSeq and is a predicted model, not a curated record.
AAACCAUUACAGCUUCCUCCACCAAUUGAGAAGAAAUCUAACUUGGAGGAGUUGAUGAUGAAGUUUGUCACGUCUACUGAGAUGAGGUUCUAGUAGACCGACAGUGCUCUUAGAAAUCAGCAGGCGUCUAUUCAGAACUUGGAGAGUCAGAUUGGGCAGAUUUCUAAGAUGUUGUCUGAGAGGCAACAAGGAGCGCUCCCUAGCACUACAGAGUCAAACCCGAGGGAGCAUUGCAAGGUUAUCACCUUGCGAUCAGGUAAGUAGUUAUCUAGCUUUACCAUUAGCUGAUGAUGAUGAUGUUUUCAUGCAGGAUAAGCCAACUAGGAAGGAGCCAGAGCUUGAGGCGAUAGAAGUAGAGAAAGUGGAAUACAGGCAGAAGAGCCCUAUGAGAGAGUACCAGCCACCAGUCCCCUACCCUGCUCGACUUAACUAGAAGAAGGUUGAUAAGCAGUUUGAUGCUGAAGUAUGUCAAGUUCUUAAAGGAAAUCUUGAGCAACAAAAGAAAGCUGGAGGAUUUGGGACUAGUGACUCUGAAUGAGGAAUGUUCAGCUAUUCUUCAGAAGAAGCUGCCACUCAAAAGGAGAGAUCUAGGGAGUUUUACUGUUCCCUGCAUCAUUGGUGAUUUACCUAUUAGUGGUGCAUUGGCUGAUUUAGGAGCUAGUAUUAAUUUGAUGCCCACUAGUUUGUUUGAUAAGUUAGGUUUGAGUGAACCUAAAUCCACUAGGAUGAACAUUCAGUUAGCUGAUAGAACUGUUAAGGUUCCUAGGGAUAUUAUUAAGGAUGUGCUUGUUAAGGAUAUUAUUUAAGCACUUGAGCUAUGCAUUUUUGGAUGAGGCAGAAAAGUUGCCUGUGAUUAUUGCAGUAGAUUUGACACCUAAGGAGUGAGAGAUGACUUUAGACUCUCUCAAGAGGUAUAAGAAGGCCUUUGCCUACAAGAUUGUUGAUAUUCCCGCGAUCAACCCUAGUUUCUAGUCUCACAAGAUUUUGAUGGAGGAUAGCUAUAGACCAGUAGUUCAGCCACAGAGGCGGCUUAACCCGAACAUGAAGGAAGUAGUGAAAAAGGAGGUAAUUAAGCUAAUUGAUGCAGGUUUGAUUUAUCCUAUUUCUGACAGUUCUUGGGAUAGCCCUGUACAGGUUGUGCCGAAGAAAGGAUGCAUGACAGUAGUUCCGCAAGGAGAAGGAUGAGCUGAUACCCACAGGAAUGGUUAUUUUCAGAUUCUAAUUACACCUGAAGACCAAGAGAAGAUGACUUUCACCUGCCCCUACGAGACUUUUGCUUAUAGACGGAUGCCUUUUGGUCUAUGCAAUGCGCCGACUACGUUUCAGCGGUGUAUAAUGGCUAUUUUUGAUGAUAUGAUUGAGGAGUCGAUGGAGGUAUUUAUGGAUGACUUCUCUGUUUUUGGUAAUUCCUUUUCUCAAUGUUUGGCCAAUUUAGAACGCAUGUUAGCUAGAUGUAUUGAGGCUAACUUGGUGCUUAAUUGGGAGAAGUGUCAUUUUAUGGUGAGAGAAGGAAUUGUUCUAGGGCAUAAGAUUUCACAUGUAGGGAUGGAGGUUGAUAGAGCUAAGAUAGAAACCAUAUCUAAGAUUUCUUAGGCCAUGCUGGUUUCUAUAGAAGGUUUAUUAGAAAUUUCUCUAAGAUUACUAGGCCUCUUACUCAAUUGCUAGUUAAGGAUGCACCUUUUUUUUAUGAUGCAUGUUUAUUUUCUUUUAAGUUAUUGAAGAAACUAUUAACCACAGCCCCUAUCAUGGCUUUGCCUGAUUGGGGGCUGCCCUUUGAGUUAAUGUGCGAUGCUAGUGAUUAUGCAGUUGGAGCUAUACUUGGACAGAGGUUUGAUAAGAAGUUCCAACCCAUUUAUUAUGCUAGCAAGACUUUGACAGGAGCUGAUGCAACCAAGGAUGCAUCUAAGUCGACUAGCAUGGAUCCACUAGCCUAUGGAGGACCAAUGACACGGGCAAGGAGUA